AAUGAACGCUGGCGGCAUGCCUAACACAUGCAAGUCGAACGAAGGCUUCGGCCUUAGUGGCGCACGGGUGCGUAACGCGUGGGAAUCUGCCCUCGGGUUCGGAAUAACAGCGAGAAAUUGCUGCUAAUACCGGAUGAUAUCGCGGGAUCAAAGAUUUAUCGCCUGAGGGUGAGCCCGCGUAGGAUUAGCUAGUUGGUGUGGUAAAGGCGCACCAAGGCGACGAUCCUUAGCUGGUCUGAGAGGAUGAUCAGCCACACUGGGACUGAGACACGGCCCAGACUCCUACGGGAGGCAGCAGUGGGGAAUAUUGGACAAUGGGCGAAAGCCUGAUCCAGCAAUGCCGCGUGAGUGAUGAAGGCCUUAGGGUUGUAAAGCUCUUUUACCCGGGAUGAUAAUGACAGUACCGGGAGAAUAAGCUCCGGCUAACUCCGUGCCAGCCGCCGCCGUAA
This 449-nucleotide ribosomal RNA is filed under the name uncultured bacterium. Its description in RNAcentral is "partial 16S ribosomal RNA". It matches the Rfam family "Bacterial small subunit ribosomal RNA", at positions 29 to 523 of the family's 1533-position model. The record is from RNAcentral.